This 447-nucleotide ribosomal RNA is filed under the name uncultured Pseudomonas sp. Its description in RNAcentral is "bacterial SSU rRNA". It matches the Rfam family "Bacterial small subunit ribosomal RNA", at positions 933 to 1382 of the family's 1533-position model. The record is from RNAcentral. Lineage: Bacteria; Pseudomonadati; Pseudomonadota; Gammaproteobacteria; Pseudomonadales; Pseudomonadaceae.
UGGAGCAUGUGGUUUAAUCGAAGCAACGCGAGAACCUUACCAGGCCUUGACAUGCAGAGAACUUUCCAGAGAUGGAUUGGUGCCUUCGGGAACUCUGACACAGGUGCUGCAUGGCUGUCGUCAGCUCGUGUCGUGGGAUGUUGGGUUAAGUCCCGUAACGAGCGCAACCCUUGUCCUUAGUUACCAGCACGUUAUGGUGGGCACUCUAAGGAGACUGCCGGUGACAAACCGGAGGAAGUGGGGAUGACGUCAAGUCAUCAUGGCCCUUACGGCCUGGGCUACACACGUGCUACAAUGGUCGGUACAAAGGGUUGCCAAGCCGCGAGGUGGAGCUAAUCCCAUAAAACCGAUCGUAGUCCGGAUCGCAGUCUGCAACUCGACUGCGUGAAGUCGGAAUCGCUAGUAAUCGUGAAUCAGAAUGUCACGGUGAAUACGUUCCCGGGCCUU